RNAcentral lists this transfer RNA (86 nucleotides) under Rhodanobacteraceae bacterium. Its description in RNAcentral is "tRNA-Leu". It matches the Rfam family "tRNA". From Rfam's summary of the family: Transfer RNA (tRNA) molecules are approximately 80 nucleotides in length. Their secondary structure includes four short double-helical elements and three loops (D, anti-codon, and T loops). The record is from RNAcentral. Lineage: Bacteria; Pseudomonadati; Pseudomonadota; Gammaproteobacteria; Lysobacterales; Rhodanobacteraceae.
GCCCGGAUGGCGAAAUCGGUAGACGCAGGAGACUUAAAAUCUCCCGGCCACAAGCCGUGCGGGUUCGAGUCCCGCUCCGGGCACCA